RNAcentral lists this small nuclear RNA (109 nucleotides) under Mustela putorius furo (domestic ferret). RNAcentral's name for it is "U4 spliceosomal RNA". It matches the Rfam family "U4 spliceosomal RNA". Rfam says of the family: U4 small nuclear RNA (U4 snRNA) is a component of the major U2-dependent spliceosome. The structure of U4 snRNA from yeast and human has been reported. Lineage: Eukaryota; Metazoa; Chordata; Mammalia; Carnivora; Mustelidae. The record is from Rfam by way of RNAcentral.
AGCUUUGUGUAGUGGCAGUAUCGUAGCCAAUGAGGUUUAUCCAAGGUGCAAUUAUGGCUAAUUGAAAAUAUUUUUACCAGGCCCCAAAGAAAUCUUGUACCCAUAAACA